AGAGAGAGAGAGAGAGAGGCAGAGACAUAGGCAGAGGGAGGAGCAGGCUCCAUGCACCGGGAGCCCAACAUGGGAUUCGAUCCCGGGUCUCCAGGAGCGCGCCCUGGGCCAAAGGCAGGCGCCAAACCCCUGCGCCACCCAGGGAUCCCGGCCCUGAUUAUUUAAUAAUCACAUUUACUAAGGUACAAUAUAGCAAAAAAAUUAUCCAAAUAAUUAGUCAGCAGCUUGAUAAAUUUUCAUAAAGCAAUUUCACCCAUAACCACCACCAAGGUCCAGAAAUCAGAAAACCACUAGCAUCAAGCUCUUUCUUAGUCACUAAGCCCCAGUUUGUAAAAGUAAAUAGGAAACUACUCUCCUGAGUUCUAAGCUAUAAAUUGUUUUGCAUUCUUUUGAACUUUAUAUAAAAGGAAUAAUAUAGAAUUUUAUUAUUUAGUAGCUGGUUUGUUUUACUCAACUCAUAUUUGUGAAACUCAUUCAUGCUCUUGUCAUUUUAAUUCAUUCAUUUUAAUAGCUAUAUAAUAUUACUUUGUAUGAAUAUAACCACAUUUUGUUUUAUGUUUUUGUUAUAUGUUAGGGCCAUUUCCAGUUUUUUAUUAUUAUAAUUUUAUAAUGAAUAUUCUCACAUGUCAUUGGUGUACAUUUCCUUCAGUAUAUACAUUUAUGCAUUUCUGUUAAUAUAUACAUAGAAGUGAAAUUGCUGGGCCAAAAGAUAUCUGUGUGUACUGCUUUAACAGGUACUUUCAAAUAGUUUUUUAAAGUGGUGGAAUGGAAGAUGUAUUGUCUCUAUACUUGUCACUUUUAUAUGUAAAUCCAAGAUGCUGCUUGGCCAACCUGAUUGAGUACUUGAAUAUGCUAUUUCUAUUUGACAAGUUGGCUUACUGAGGACUUCUAAACUUGUUAAUCAUUGUCCGAGUCACAAGGACUUUAUGAAUCAGUCGCUUUCUUUCCAAAAGAGCAAGCUAAUAGAUUCUUUUCAAAAGGGGUGUAUUUGAGCAUUGUGAAUAGAUCCACAUAGUCUCAAGAAGGUUUUGUUGUUGUUGUUAAAGAUUUUAUUUAUUUAUUCAUGAGAGACACAGAGACACAGACAGAGGAAGAAGCAGGUUCCAUGCAGGGAGCCCAACGUGGGACUUGAUCUCAGGUCUUCAGGAUCACACCCUGGACUGAAAGUGGCGCUAAACCACUGAGCCACCCAGAAGCUUGACACGAAGAGCAGGGUUUGAAUUUUAUCAGAGUUGUGAGUCACCUUACUGGCAGAGGUGUGAUUACACCAUGCAACCAUUGAGACCCAGACUUCUGACUUGCUAAGCAACAAGGUAUCAUUUAUGCAGUAAAGGCUUUGGACAUCAGGGAGUAGAGACAGUUACGCUGAAACCUAACUCAUUCACUGGUGGCAAGUCACAGCACAGUUUAGGCACCUGUGGGGAUAUACUAAAAGUUACUCGAGGUCUUCCCUUCUGAUCAAAAGACUCUCUUCUGGACUUUAUGACCAUUCAAAAUACAUGCAUAUAAAAUAUUAGUAUCAAUUAUACUUUCAACAAUAAAAGCCACAAUAGUACAUUUAAUUGGCCCAAAGGGUCCCACUCACAAAAUCAUGUUAACUUCCUUUCCCUACUCUGAACCUUAUCCAAACCUCAUAAGCUAAAUCCAGGCAAUGGGUAUGUUGGUGAAUUGGGCAUCUGUGCCCAACAGAACCAUACAAAUUUGAAUGUCUCCCCUCCCAGAUGUUCCCUAGUGUACUCAAAUAGAUGCAUACUGUCUUCAGUACUCCUGGGGGCAAGAGGAGAUCUUGGCUGCAUGCCUAAUCAUCUCUUUCCUUAAAGUAGCUGAGGAAGAGGGGAAUAAAUGAAUCAAGAGGACUGGACAGAGAGAGGCUCCACACCAGUAAGCAAAGCAUAUCCACUUUCCAUUUUGAGCAGUGCAGAAGCUACUCUCAGCUCAACCAAUGGAACUCCCACUGUUUUCAGCCUACCCACUACUUUACAGAAUGGUGAAGUUCUCAUAUCUGAUGCCCUGUGUUUCAUCCUUGGGAACUCUUGACUCAACCAGCUAUAGCCUCAGUGACUUCCAGCUGGGGCCAUGCAGUCUAUGCCCCCUGGCCAGCCUGGCCCUAGCUCACACAGUGGUGACAGCUUCUUUGAGGAGUCCAUAUUAGUCUGAGGCAUCAUUUCUUGUUACUAAAAUAACAUCUCCUAAGUUCUCAUUUGAUUUCCAUGUAAGAGCUAGGGAUAUUUUCCAGUGAGGCAGGCCUGAAAGUGAGCAUUUAUCUAAAUUUCUUUGGGUCAGUUUCUCAUUCUGCAGUGGGUCACUUCCAUCAUUAUUAUAAACCCAAUUCAGUGCAGUGAGACCCUAAGUACUAGUUAAUGACUCAUUUAUGUUUUCCCGGGGGAGUCUGUCCCUUUUUUGGGAAAAUUCUCCUAAAGCAGCCAGAACCCACUGCAAAAAAACUGAAUCUUUUACUGUCAUAUCCAAACAGUUCCACAGUUGACAUGAUGGACUGUAGGAGGGACUGAGCCAUAAGAUGAUCCAGCUACUCCCAUUCUUCCUUAACAAAGCAUUAUUAUGCAGGGUGCCUGGGUAGCUCAGUCGGUUAAGUGUCUGACUCUUGGCUUCACCUCAGGUUGUGAUCUUGGAGUCGUGAUCUCAGGGCUGUGGAAUAGAGCCCUGGGUGGGGCUCCACACUCAGUGUAGAGUUUGCUUGUCUCACUCCCUCCCGUUCUGCUCCUCCCCCUCUGCGCUCCCCCCUACCGUAUCUCUCCCCCCUCUCCCCAUGCCUGCAUGAGUUCACAUGCUCCCUCCUCUCUCUCAUAAAUAGAUAGAUAGAUAGAUAGAUAGAUAGAUAGAUAGAUAGAUAGAUAGAUCCCUUUAAAAAAACAGAAACAAAGCAUUAUGUAUCCUGCCCCAUUCAUCUCUCAAGUGAACCAGCCAAAGAUGUAUAGACUCUCUCUGUACAUAGUGAUCACAAAUCUCCCUCCUUUCAGCCUCCUGUCCCCAGGAAAAAUCUUAGCAUUAGUCAUUACAAUAGAACAAACUUGAAGCUGACCACUAGAUGGGCAAAGAAGUCCCCCCACUAGAGGGAAGUCACGUCAUCCAAGGUCCAGUCCACGCAACUGUUUUUAAAUCUGUUCCCUAGUACUUGCCCUACAAUGCCUCUCCAAUUCCUUCUCAUUAACAGGCAACAAAGUGGAGGAAAAUUUAUUGCCUGGUUGAACAUAUAUUGUGGUCAAUAUGUUUGCUAAAAGUGUCAAAACUGUGGAGGGUCAAAUAUUUUAUCCUACUUGCAGACUAACAAGUCCUGUCACUGUCCCAUGGGUACUGUCCUACCAGAAGGGGUAGCCAGAGUACCAUAACAUUUGGACCAAUUUCUAAGCCCCAAUUCCCACAGGGUGACAUGACAUGGGCCAGAUGGACCGUCAUUACAGUGCUUGGCACUGCAAAAGAGGGACCCUAAACUUACUCAACAGUAAGUUUGUCUUUUGCUCCAGAGAAAGACAUUACCUUUAUUAUACUGGACAGUAAGCAUGCCUGCACUUUACUCCAAAGAGUGACACUAUCUUUCUGUCUACCAAGGCUAUUCACUAUUCAAACAUUCCUGAAAAAAUAGUCCAGAACAAAGGACAAUCGUCUCCUCAUAAGACAUGCAAGAACUCCAUGGAAAAAUGUCUCUCAACAAGUAUAAUUUACAUAAGGUUCACCCUUUUGAGCUGUACAUUCCCAUGAGUUUUGAAAAUCAGUCAUAUAAUCACUACUAUAGCAAUAUAGAAUUUUUUUAAUCAACUCCCAAAGUCCCAUGUAAUCCUUAAACCACUGAUUAGACUUUAGUCUCUAUAAUUUUGCCUUUUCCAAAGUGUUAUAUAAAUGAACUGAUCAAAAACAUUCCCAUUUGUGUCUGGCUUCUUUGACUUAGCACAAUGCUUUUGACAUUAAUCCAUGGCGUUACAUGUAUUGACAAUUCAUUUAUUUUUAUUGUUGAAUAGUAUUCCAUUGUAUGUAUAUACGAUUUCCUUAUCCAUUCACCAGUUGAUGGGUAUUUGGAUUAUUUAUGAGUUUUUUGGUGUUACAAAUAAACAUACUGUAAACAUCCAUGUACAGGUCUUUGUAGGAACAUAUGUUUUUAUGUCUUCUGAGUAGUUUGGAGUAGAUUCUUGGGAGUAAGUUCAUGUUUAACUUUACAAAAACAAAAACAAAAAACGAAACAAAACCUGACCAUUGUUUUUCCUAAGUGAUUGUACCAUUUUUCAUUCCUAGUAGCAGGGGAUUAAAAUGUCACUUCCUAUCCUCACACUUGAUAUGAUAUGGACUUGUUUUUGUUUUUAAUUCUGGUCAUUGUAAUAGGUGUCCAGUGAUAUCCCAUCAGUUUUCAUUGCAUUUCUCUGAUGGUUAAUAAUGUCAAGCAUCUUUUCAUGUGCUUACUUAUCAUUUCAAAUGUCUCAUUUGAUGAAUUAUCUAUGCAAGUCAUAGCUUUUUUUUAAAAGAUUUUAUUUAUUUAUUCAUGAGAGAUACACAGAGAGAGAGUCAGAGAUGCAGGCAGAGGGAGAAGCAGGCUCCAUGCAGAGAGCCCAAGGCGGGACUCAAUCCUGGGUCUCCAGGAUCACACCCUGGGCUGACGGUGGCGCUAAACCACUGAGCCACCGGGGCUGCCCAAGUCAUAGCUUUUAAAUGAGUUGUUUUUUUCUUAUUGAGUUUUUUGAGAAUUCUUUACAUAUUCUAGGUACACUUAUUUUUUUAUUUUUUAUUUUUUUUUAAAUUUUUUUAUUUAUUUAUGAUAGUCACAGAGAGAGAGGGGGGGGGGGCAGAGACACAGGCAGAGGGAGAAGCAGGCUCCAUGCACCGGGAGCCCGACGUGGGAUUCGAUCCAGGGUCUCCAGGAUCGUGCCCUGGGCCAAAGGCAGGUGCCAAACCACUGCGCCACCCAGGGAUCCCUAGGUACACUUAUUUUUUAAAUCACUUUUUAUCCCAGACAUUUUCUUCCACUUCAUGGCUUAUCUUUUUAUUUUCUUAACAUUCAAGGAGCCUAAGUUUUAAAUUUUAAUUAAAUUCAAUUUAUCUUCUUUUAAAUUUUAUGGUUUGUGCUUUCAUGUCCUAAUAAAUUCUCUCCUAACUAGAAGUAAACCUAGGGGGUUCAGUCAGUUGAGUGCCUGACUUUUGAUUUUGGCUCAGAUCAUGAUCUCAGUGUCAUAAGAUGGAGCCCUCAGUGGGGAGUCUGCUUGAGUUUUUCUCCCUCUACCCUUCCCCCUGCUCUCUCUCUCUAAAAAUAAAUAAA
RNAcentral lists this long non-coding RNA (5260 nucleotides) under Canis lupus familiaris (dog). RNAcentral's name for it is "lncRNA (ENSCAFG00000054710.1)". Lineage: Eukaryota; Metazoa; Chordata; Mammalia; Carnivora; Canidae. The record is from RNAcentral.